CCCAGGUAAAAGGACAAGCAGAGCACGAGGUCAGGAAGCUGGUGGAGAGUUCUGGUGGGAGCGUUCAGGGGACUGUUGCAAGAUUCAGAGGCCGUGCCACCAUAAUAAAAACUCCGGAUUGAAAACUCUCCAUCAGGACCUGCUCCUUUCUUCACCUCGCCUUAAGGGUUUCUCCAGAUCGGGAAGGCCUGAGGAGUGACCUCCUCAGCAGCAAGCUCCAGCCCGCAAGCUCUGGAGCUCGGGGCAUGCCCGGACUUGUCUCCAUGUGCCCAGCUGUGACCACAGAGUGAAAAGAAGCUCAAGCCUUCAAGAAAGUCCAGUGGAACAAUCAAAUAAGGUCAGACUGGGAAAACAAACAAAUGUGGUGGCUAUGUGUGGAGCAAGAAAAAACUUGUACUAAAAAAGGUACUUCAUUACGGCAACAGCGAGGCCAUCCCUGGAGUUCUGGUUGAGCUUUGAGCUCCUCAGUCCAAGAGAGACAUGGACAUACUGAAGAUUGUCCAGCAAAGAGCCACUAAGACCAUGAAGGAAAUGCAGCAUUUCGCCUUUGAGAAAGGAGACAGCUCAGGCUGGAAAAAAAAGGCUCUUGAGGAAAAUUAUUAAUGUAUAUAAAUACUUAAAGCAAGAAUGCAAAGAAGAGAAAAACAGGUUCUCUAAAGUGACAGGACCAGAGGAAAUGGACACACACUGAAAUACAUGAAGUUUCCUGUGAACCUCAGGAAGUACUUUACUAUGAGGAUGACCAAGAACUAAUGCAGAUUGCCCAGCGAAUCUCCAUUCUUGGAGAUGACCCACCUGUUCCAGGUGGUUCUGCUUGAUCAGGGCAGAUUAUGUCCACAGGUUGCUUCCAACAUAAAUCAUUCAUGUUCUUUACUUGAAUGACCUCUGGAUCAAACACUUUUGUAUAACUAUUGUAUCUUCUUAAGCUCUAGCCAGCAUACCUCUUAGGAAAAAAUGCUCAUACUGAAAUUGUUGGAACUAUUGCUGGUAUUGUUUAUGGUAAUGCAACAAUAUAUUUAUAUAUAUUAACAUUAAAAAAUUCUGCUCUGCUAUAUAUUCUGUUCCUCUUUUUACUUGAAGUUAUAGUGUAACUGCUCUCUUUAAUCAAAAACUUUAUCAUCCCAACUCUCUGAGGAAGAUCUGUGCUUUUAGAAGGGAUUCAAGAAUACAUAUUUAACAUAGUCUUGUUAAAUUCUAAACAAUAUUAAUAAUAUUUUCAACAAAUUUGAAUUUCAGUUAAUGUGUCUUUCUGGGUCCACUGACAGAAAAAGAAGAAAAAGACUGAAAAUUAUAAGUUUUUAUGUUGUAAUGAAUAACCCACACCAGGGUGAUUAUACUUGAAAUGAAGCAAAGAGGACAAUGACACCAGGUACUGUCAGUGAGGUUGUAUUCUGCAGUAUAUUGUAAUUGUUCUAGGAAUGCAGUAUGAAUAUCUAAAAAUGAGAGAUAAUCAUACAUAAUUGACUAAUUAAUCCUUUGCUUAGUUUUCAGCUAACUUUGUUAUUAAAACCUGAGAUGCUGUUUUACUUUUUUGUGAGUGACUGGAUACAACUAUGAAGUAUUACAAUAUUUUAUUUAGCAGAAAAUAGACACACUGAAAGCUCAAUAUUUGUUUUAUCUAUAUUUUAUGGGAUUAAAAUAUUUAUCUGCACAACUAA
Molecule: long non-coding RNA, 1658 nt
Organism: Passer domesticus (house sparrow)
Lineage: Eukaryota; Metazoa; Chordata; Aves; Passeriformes; Passeridae
Exons: 3
Source: RefSeq, a predicted model, not a curated record